UUGAAACUGAAAUACAUGUAGAUUAGUUUCACUCUAAGAGAAAGUUAUUUCUAUUUAAUGUUUUUUCACUUAAGUGAAUUAAGACAUAAGAAAAUUAUAUAAAACGGUUUAGGAAAAGUUUAAACGUUAAAAAACCUACUGCAGUAAAAUAAAACGUAUUGUGUCCAAUAAGUUUUUAUUAAGUAUAAUUAUUUUCCUAGUGUUAACGAAGCUUGUAUCUUUAAAUAAAAAGUUUUUACCUUACGAAGAGAUACUUUUAAAUGUUAAAACGUCUUUCAUUGAAAUCUGGAUGUAUCCUCUUUUGGUGUAUAACGGAGAUGGGUGUUGGUGAGAUGAGUGAGAGUGUUGGACGAGAUUUAAUUGAACACAAAUAUGAAGAUGAAUAUGUUAGAUAGAUAUAUAUUCAUGUGGUACAAUCAAUGAGAUAACGUCAUAAUUGACUUUCCCUGUGUAUUUUGUGUAUUUUCUAAAGCAACCUAAAGGCCUACGCUUCAAGUACAUGACUGUACUCACCAAACGUUGGUACUAUGACGCACAAGAAAAUUUGCAAUUUUCUAUUAUUGUAAUUGGCGAUCGGCGUUAAGUAAAAUGUGUAUUUGUGUGUUUAUUAAUGAUACAGAUAAUUCAUGAGUAUGUCGUGUGCAUUUUAUGUCCGAUAUUAAUCGAACUUCGUUAACACGAAGUCAGAUAUCUAACCAUGAAUUCGUUUAUAUCGAAGUCGAGAUAUAGUCCCAUAGCAAGCAAUAUCUACUACAUGUGUAUAUAUAUGUGUUAAUCUCAAGCCUAUAGAUUACAUUAUUUUGAUGCAUUUGUAUGACACUAAAUGUAUUUAAUGUAAAGGAAUUUGAUAUGAACAAAAUGUAUUUAGACAAAUUCUGUUCUUUCAAAUUGACAAAAUACCAUAUUAUCUGUUUUAAAUUACAUUUUGUUUGCUUUUGCAUUUGUUGGCUAAUGCUGUAUAUAAAAUGUACGUCAUGUUUUGAAAAAUCAACAUUACUGAAACAAAUACGAGUAUGUUUGUAAUGGAUUAAGUCCGCACUUUACUUGUUAUUGUUGUUACACGUCACGUUUCUCAGCUGCUGUAGCAAAUCUCAAAUUAAUAUUUACUCAAAAAUGACUACGAUUGUUUCCAUAGUGGACUGAUAACGCCUGAGGGCCUCUAUAUCUAAAACCACUCUCGUAUUUCUCCCGCCGUUGGAUCCAAGUACAUUCUGAUUACAUUUUUACUCUUCCUUAUUAUACUGCUUUUAGAAGUUGGAACACAUUUAUAUGAUCUAUAGUGUCUCAUAAGCCACCAAGUGGCUGGAGGUUAAUAUUGGUUCUUUAAUUUAUUGUGCCUCAAACAGCUUUUUUUUAUUAUGUAAUGUAUUAAGAUGUGACACUAAAAUAAACUAUGAUUGAUUGAUUUGAUCUAAAAUAUUAUCGAAAAGUCUUCAAACAGUGACAUACUGGAUCACAAAAUAUUCGUUGAAAUACCAAUAAUUAACGUUUUUGUUUUCAUUCUAAGGUUACCCUGUGUUAAUAUAUAUUUAGUUCUUGGUAAUUGUUGAAUUUCUAGGAUCGAACUAUUUUCAAUGUUACAUGGAAACUAAAAAUGUAUUUCCAGUCAUUCGAUUGCCUUGAUCCAGGGAGAGCCACUCACUCGAUAAACAUAGAUUCAUCAGCUUUAGAUCGCAUCUUGGCCUCUUUUUGUAAUGUCCUUAGGUCGUUAGAUUGUUGUAAACCUCGUUUCCGUACUAAGCUGCCUUAUGAUUUUAAACAAGGUUCUUUCUUUUUUUAAGAGCCUAACUUUACAAUAAUUGGUCUCGGUUUUACCUUGGUAUCUGCUGAUGUUUCUCAAGCCUGUGUAUUUUAGUAUGUAUUGCUAAUUUCCAAUUUACAUUAUAUUUCUAUCUCGCUUUCUCCGAGUAAGUUUCUUUUAACAAAAACUCGGCAUGGGCGCAAAACCCAAUUGAAUCACAAUUGACUAGGGUUUUUAUACUGACGGUCUAUCAUCGUUUAGUAUCGUUUUGACAUGAGGAUAUAUCCAUGAUUCCUCCAAAAUCCACACACACACUUAUCUAUACGUUACAUGCAUGCAUCUCGCGCACAGGAAGAUCGUCCUUACGUAAAACAAAACAAAAUGUGAUAAGUGUGAACCUUUUGUGUUAAUUGUUUUUGUUUGGAUCAGUGAAUACCUGCUUCUCUUACCUAAAGUAUUUUACAUAUUGAUGUCGAUUCGAGAUUCUUCAUCUGAGAACCUGUCCACGUUAACACCUCUGGCACAAAUAAAACUACGAUUUCGUUGUGAAAUAGUUUAGCAUAUUACUACCCGAAUCUCCCUUUGACAGCGUGACAUUAUUUUACCAAAAUUUGCAAGGCGAAUGUUGCUUACCCCUCGUAAAUAAUUUAGCUUUCAAAAAUGUCUGGUUUCGUCUUUAUAUUUGUAUUCGACCACAAAUCAAUUGCUUAAACAAAGGUUUCCUGAUUAAUAGGAGGUUGUUACCGCAGACAUGUUCCAACCAUUACAUCAGCUCUUCUUACCACAAACGGUCGUGUGUCAUGUUGACUCAGCAGGCUAUGUAUUAAAGUCUAUCUGAUUGCUACUAAUAAUGUUAAUGCAUUUGCCGUUUACGUAAUAAAAGUGUUUGUUGAUGUU
This is a long non-coding RNA of Pecten maximus, 2638 nucleotides long. RefSeq lists it as uncharacterized. The record is from RefSeq and is a predicted model, not a curated record. The transcript is spliced from 2 exons. NCBI's taxonomy places the organism in Eukaryota, Metazoa, Mollusca, Bivalvia, Pectinida, Pectinidae.